UUUUUUUUUUUUAAUAAUUAUUCAGUUUAUUGCACAAUUGGUUGUUAACAAAUACCCUAAAAGGUACAACUAUCUCAAAUAGGUUUAUCCCUGUGUGUGAAUUAUCAAAUGAACCAGGGGAUUCACAAGAUAAACUUAUUAUAAGUUUCAAAAGUGGUUAAUAGAAUAUUACAAUCGAUAUAGUUUACAAAAUCUGCAUAGCGACAAAUCCGGAAAACAUACGUUCUCUCUGUUUACGUUUUUCUACUUAUUUUAAUUGUAUAUCACGUGGUAUAGAUGUUUAUUAUGUAUCUCGAACACAUGUAUUUUAUUCAUUCUUGUGUGUUGGAAUAUUCUUAACUUAUUUGAUGACUUGUAUUUACAAUACAUUACAGUUAUGACCCUUACUUCAGAUUUGAAGAUAUCCCAAAUAUCUCUAGAAUCUCUGGUAUUUUAGAGUGGCAAUCACCAUGGAUGUGGAAGUAGCUUGUACAAAAUAUACAUGAACUAUAUAGAAAGAACUAAUUUUCAGUUUUUGGGUACCUAAAACAAUAGAGGUG
This is a long non-coding RNA of Mytilus californianus (California mussel), 539 nucleotides long. RefSeq lists it as uncharacterized. The record is from RefSeq and is a predicted model, not a curated record. The transcript has 3 exons. NCBI's taxonomy places the organism in Eukaryota, Metazoa, Mollusca, Bivalvia, Mytilida, Mytilidae.